RNAcentral lists this ribosomal RNA (253 nucleotides) under uncultured bacterium. RNAcentral's name for it is "partial 16S ribosomal RNA". It matches the Rfam family "Bacterial small subunit ribosomal RNA", at positions 524 to 776 of the family's 1533-position model. The record is from RNAcentral.
UACGGAGGGGGCUAGCGUUGUUCGGAAUUACUGGGCGUAAAGAGCGCGCAGGCGGUCGUUCAAGUCGAGUGUGAAAGCCCCCGGCUCAACUGGGGAGGGUCACUCGAUACUGAUCGACUUGAAGGCAGGAGAGGGAAGCGGAAUUCCAGGUGUAGCGGUGAAAUGCGUAGAUAUCUGGAGGAACACCGGUGGCGAAGGCGGCGUUCUGGACUGCAACUGACACUGAGAAACGAAAGCCAGGGUAGCAAACGGG